UUGUAUAGAACAGGAUAUUAAAUUGUGCAGACCGAGAGCGAUUGUAAAGAAAGCUACUCAUUAGUCAAGACCGAAACUUUCAUUUACAAGUAGCUUAUUUAAUGAAAGGAAAUGUCACUUCCAGGUGGAAUCAGUUUAUGGAACCUGCUCAGUGUUUUCCUUCUGUUCGUUGGGAAUGUCCUUCACAUUGUAGGCUUGGCGACCCCAGAAUGGUCAACGGCUAAUGUUGUAGGUAUAUCAUACAGCGCCGGCUUAUGGAAGGGAUGUUCAGAUGGUUUGUGUGUGGAUUACCCUCAGAAACCUGCCGCCCUUGAAGCUUGCGAAGCCAUGGCCAUCAUUGGCAUGUUGUUCAGCUUUUUUGCUAUAGCAGCGGUUGGGAUUGGAAUAUAUUUCAAAAUCACAGGAACACCUACGGUAGCGAAAUUUCAUCACUUUGCAACAGUAAUGUCCAUCAUAUCACUUGUGUUUAUCUUGAUUGGCGUCAUAGUAUGGGGAGCUGAAUUGCACGAUUCAAAUUAUUAUAUGAAGAUUGGCUAUUCGUUUAUCCUGAGUAUCGUGGGCGGCAUUCUCAUAGCCAUCGGAGGGGUGAUGUACAGCUGUACUAUUACUAAUGUGGAUUAAA
This is a long non-coding RNA of Physella acuta, 622 nucleotides long. RefSeq lists it as uncharacterized. NCBI's taxonomy places the organism in Eukaryota, Metazoa, Mollusca, Gastropoda, Physidae. The record is from RefSeq and is a predicted model, not a curated record.